UGAAAAGAUUUCUGCUUUAUGUGUACAUUUGUUGCUCUGGAAAUCCAUAAAGAUCAAACAAAGGCAAUCAUGGGACCCAGACAUUUGUUAGCUCUGUUGAUUGCAUCACCAUCCAGAAUCUAUAUUUAAGUUGCAGACUUCAGUCACAAAUGUAGACGCUGCACUUAGCAGGGCUUGCCAGAGGCUUCUUACUCUCACCUGGAACUGAAAUAAACUAAUAAGACCGAAGAUGCUGCUGAAGCUGGGCUGUGUCGUCCUGGUUCUUGUGUUCUUAAAUGAAGUGCAUUUAGUCACUCCAGAAGGUAACAUCACAAUAACUACUAUCACCACCAAGGCUGGAUCUGAUAUCACAACAGCUACAGGCACGAAACCUGCUGGAGGAGCUGAACAAAGCACCAGCGCUGGAUCCAAUACCACAGAAACGACCAAUACAGGCACAGUGCAGCAAGGAAGCUCAAUGGCUAUCGUCUUACCUUUGCUUACUGUCACAUCUUUGACCAUGUUCAUCCCUUGGUUGUGAAUACUCCUAUUUUAUAAGCUUUUUUCUGCUUGUAUAUUUAUGCACCACUUGUAGUAUAUUUAUACCAAUUCAAAUUUGAACAAACUAAGAACAUGCUCUUAUGGUCAUGUGAGUUUGACAGCAUAAUAGUGGCACUAUAAGUUAAGGUUGCUUAAUUAAUAACUAGGUUUGAAUAACUAGCUCCAGUUUGGAAGGUUGGCACUUUUCCAAAAGGCAAUCAAUCUGUCUUAAGUAUUUUAUUUUAAAAGUGAAGGAAAAAAAAAAUAUUUUUCUACUUAAAAUGAGAAAUGUGAAAACAUUUAAUACUAUUACUCCAAAUAUAUUAUAAAUAUAUGUAACUAUACAUAUACUCCAAAAUGUAUUAUAAAUAUAUGUAACUAUGCAAAUUAAUCCCAUUAUACUUGUUUCCACCAAACUACAUUUCCUGUAGGAAGAAAACAGUGGUAUCCUCCUACAGAAGCCAAAUAGUAACAAAUGUGACUCGUUUCCCUCAUACCUUUUCUAAUGUAAUGUGAUCAAUGUGCACAAGGCUAACAGUGGUCAACAGUAUCAAUCCUGAUAACCACGGAAAGGAGCUAUGUUCCCUUUCCUGAGAUUUCUCACCAUCCUUUCCACAGAUACUGAUGUCUCAAUAUCUGUUCUGUGUUUAUUGUAAUUUCACCCCGUGAUUUUUGGGGGCCUGCUGUUUUGUUCUAUUUGAAUUUUAUACAAGGUUUGGUUUAAACUGUAAGGUUUGUCAAUAAAACUGCUCAAUUCUUAUAUAUGUUAAACUAGAACCAUUUUAAUAAAAAUAAAUUCAUGCAGAAUGUA
This is a long non-coding RNA of Alligator mississippiensis (American alligator), 1330 nucleotides long. RefSeq lists it as uncharacterized. The transcript is spliced from 2 exons. NCBI's taxonomy places the organism in Eukaryota, Metazoa, Chordata, Crocodylia, Alligatoridae. The record is from RefSeq and is a predicted model, not a curated record.